GCAUAAUGUUUUCUUUAACAGUCAUGGUGGUUGGGGCAGGAGCUGAGCAGCUUGCCCAGGCAGAGGACCAGUCGAGGACCUGCUCUGAGCCUUUGAUCUGGCUGCCAGCUCAGGUUCCCCCACAAAGCAGGACUGUGCCUCACCUGGAGCUCUGUUGGAUUGCUGUGCAGCUGCUCAAAGAGCAGAACCGAGGCAUGUUCUCAGCUUGCUCUUCCUGCCUUGUGGCUUUAAAGCACAGAACACUACCUUACCUCCAACAGCCCUGUCUAACCUGACUCCAAAUGCUCCUCCACCCCCUGGAGCAGGGGACUCACUGAAUCAGGAUAGCCCAGCUUUGGUUUGAGAAAUGCUGCCUCCUCCAAAAAACACCCAGAACAUUUCCAUGGCCACACCAAUCCUGUAGAGGCCUCAACAAAAGGAAAAUCAGACCUGUAAAUGUCCAAGAUGACUUUUCAGUUGGGCUCCAGCUGUGGAGUUGGGCUCAGGACCUGAAUCUUUGGUGAGGUACACCUUGACAUUCAUACUGUUACAAAAUCAGGCCAAAUCCACACAAAUGAGAAUAUGCCAGCUCCUAAUUUGAGUUCUGGGAAUGAAGUUUGUCUUCGUUUGUGCCCAUCCAUCAUUUCAAAUGGAGCUAUCUUGUGACAGCCACAUUUGGUAGUCUCUGCCUGGGAGAUAAUUGCUCAUCACUGAGGGGAACUCACACAGCUGAGAUAACCCUCAGGCACUUUCUCUGCAGGGAUGGGAGCACCAGAGGCAAAGCAAUUAACAGAGCAAUUAAGACACUAGCCAAUCAUAUCUCUUUUCUUUCCCCUCAUCUCAGACUUGUGCUACUCUCCAGUGCCUCUAAAACCAAUGAAGGAAAGGCCCUGCUCUCUAGAGGGAUAAUUCCCUCAGGUGGGCUGGGGUUGAGAUUAGUCUCCAUCCCCUGUUCCUGGCCCUUACUCAUCACGAGCCUGGGUUUGUUGGACAUGGCUUGACUACUGCAAACAGAACCAGUGGUCAUUUCCUUUCCUGAGAGCCAAGAAACCCCAAUGGUCACUUAGAGCUCUUCCCUGUAUUCUGCUCCUUCCCCUCACCAGGCUUGUUCUCCAGGUAAUAAAUCAAUUUUUUCAGAAGCA
Molecule: long non-coding RNA, 1121 nt
Filed under: Cyanistes caeruleus (blue tit)
Lineage: Eukaryota; Metazoa; Chordata; Aves; Passeriformes; Paridae
Description: lncRNA (ENSCCEG00000012561.1)
Source: RNAcentral